This 2905-nucleotide ribosomal RNA is filed under the name Citrobacter meridianamericanus. Its description in RNAcentral is "23S ribosomal RNA". It matches the Rfam family "Bacterial large subunit ribosomal RNA". Lineage: Bacteria; Pseudomonadati; Pseudomonadota; Gammaproteobacteria; Enterobacterales; Enterobacteriaceae. The record is from RNAcentral.
GGUUAAGCGACUAAGCGUACACGGUGGAUGCCCUGGCAGUCAGAGGCGAUGAAGGACGUGCUAAUCUGCGAUAAGCGUCGGUAAGGUGAUAUGAACCGUUAUAACCGGCGAUUUCCGAAUGGGGAAACCCAGUGUGAUUCGUCACACUAUCAUUACGUGAAUACAUAGCGUAAUGAAGCGAACCGGGGGAACUGAAACAUCUAAGUACCCCGAGGAAAAGAAAUCAACCGAGAUUCCCCCAGUAGCGGCGAGCGAACGGGGAGCAGCCCAGAGUCUGAAUCAGCUUGUGUGUUAGUGGAACGGUCUGGAAAGUCCGACGGUACAGGGUGAUAGUCCCGUACACCAAAAUGCACAGGUUGUGAACUCGAAGAGUAGGGCGGGACACGUGGUAUCCUGUCUGAAUAUGGGGGGACCAUCCUCCAAGGCUAAAUACUCCUGACUGACCGAUAGUGAACCAGUACCGUGAGGGAAAGGCGAAAAGAACCCCGGCGAGGGGAGUGAAAAAGAACCUGAAACCGUGUACGUACAAGCAGUGGGAGCACCUUCGGGUGUGACUGCGUACCUUUUGUAUAAUGGGUCAGCGACUUAUAUUCUGUAGCAAGGUUAACCGUAUAGGGGAGCCGAAGGGAAACCGAGUCUUAACUGGGCGUUAAGUUGCAGGGUAUAGACCCGAAACCCGGUGAUCUAGCCAUGGGCAGGUUGAAGGUUGGGUAACACUAACUGGAGGACCGAACCGACUAAUGUUGAAAAAUUAGCGGAUGACUUGUGGCUGGGGGUGAAAGGCCAAUCAAACCGGGAGAUAGCUGGUUCUCCCCGAAAGCUAUUUAGGUAGCGCCUCGUGAACUCAUCUUCGGGGGUAGAGCACUGUUUCGGCUAGGGGGUCAUCCCGACUUACCAACCCGAUGCAAACUGCGAAUACCGAAGAAUGUUAUCACGGGAGACACACGGCGGGUGCUAACGUCCGUCGUGAAGAGGGAAACAACCCAGACCGCCAGCUAAGGUCCCAAAGUCAUGGUUAAGUGGGAAACGAUGUGGGAAGGCACAGACAGCCAGGAUGUUGGCUUAGAAGCAGCCAUCAUUUAAAGAAAGCGUAAUAGCUCACUGGUCGAGUCGGCCUGCGCGGAAGAUGUAACGGGGCUAAACCAUGCACCGAAGCUGCGGCAGCGACACUAUGUGUUGUUGGGUAGGGGAGCGUUCUGUAAGCCGUUGAAGGUGUGUCGUGAGGCAUGCUGGAGGUAUCAGAAGUGCGAAUGCUGACAUAAGUAACGAUAAUGCGGGUGAAAAACCCGCACGCCGGAAGACCAAGGGUUCCUGUCCAACGUUAAUCGGGGCAGGGUGAGUCGACCCCUAAGGCGAGGCCGAAAGGCGUAGUCGAUGGGAAACAGGUUAAUAUUCCUGUACUUGGUGUUACUGCGAAGGGGGGACGGAGAAGGCUAUGUUGGCCGGGCGACGGUUGUCCCGGUUUAAGCAUGUAGGCGGAGGUUCCAGGUAAAUCCGGUACCUUUUAACGCUGAGGUGUGAUGACGAGGCACUACGGUGCUGAAGUGACAAAUGCCCUGCUUCCAGGAAAAGCCUCUAAGCAUCAGGUAACACGAAAUCGUACCCCAAACCGACACAGGUGGUCAGGUAGAGAAUACCAAGGCGCUUGAGAGAACUCGGGUGAAGGAACUAGGCAAAAUGGUGCCGUAACUUCGGGAGAAGGCACGCUGAUAUGUAGGUGAAGCGGUUUACCCGUGGAGCUGAAAUCAGUCGAAGAUACCAGCUGGCUGCAACUGUUUAUUAAAAACACAGCACUGUGCAAACACGAAAGUGGACGUAUACGGUGUGACGCCUGCCCGGUGCCGGAAGGUUAAUUGAUGGGGUUAUCCGUAAGGAGAAGCUCUUGAUCGAAGCCCCGGUAAACGGCGGCCGUAACUAUAACGGUCCUAAGGUAGCGAAAUUCCUUGUCGGGUAAGUUCCGACCUGCACGAAUGGCGUAAUGAUGGCCAGGCUGUCUCCACCCGAGACUCAGUGAAAUUGAACUCGCUGUGAAGAUGCAGUGUACCCGCGGCAAGACGGAAAGACCCCGUGAACCUUUACUAUAGCUUGACACUGAACACUGGUCCUUGAUGUGUAGGAUAGGUGGGAGGCUUUGAAGCGUGGACGCCAGUCUGCGUGGAGCCAACCUUGAAAUACCACCCUUUAAUGGCUGGUGUUCUAACGUUGACCCGUAAUCCGGGUUGCGGACAGUGUCUGGUGGGUAGUUUGACUGGGGCGGUCUCCUCCUAAAGAGUAACGGAGGAGCACGAAGGUUAGCUAAUCCUGGUCGGACAUCAGGAGGUUAGUGCAAAGGCAUAAGCUAGCUUGACUGCGAGAGUGACGGCUCGAGCAGGUGCGAAAGCAGGUCUUAGUGAUCCGGUGGUUCUGAAUGGAAGGGCCAUCGCUCAACGGAUAAAAGGUACUCCGGGGAUAACAGGCUGAUACCGCCCAAGAGUUCAUAUCGACGGCGGUGUUUGGCACCUCGAUGUCGGCUCAUCACAUCCUGGGGCUGAAGUAGGUCCCAAGGGUAUGGCUGUUCGCCAUUUAAAGUGGUACGCGAGCUGGGUUUAGAACGUCGUGAGACAGUUCGGUCCCUAUCUGCCGUGGGCGCUGGAGAAUUGAGGGGGGCUGCUCCUAGUACGAGAGGACCGGAGUGGACGCAUCACUGGUGUUCGGGUUGUCAUGCCAAUGGCACUGCCCGGUAGCUAAAUGCGGAAGAGAUAAGUGCUGAAAGCAUCUAAGCACGAAACUUGCCCCGAGAUGAGUUCUCCCUGAGACUUUAAGUCUCCUGAAGGAACGUUAAAGACGAUGACGUUGAUAGGUCGGGUGUGUAAGCGUAGCGAUACGUUGAGCUAACCGAUACUAAUGAACCGUGAGGCUUAACCUU